GUCAAUUCGAAAACUCCAACCUCUGUCUGGACAAUUGUUCAUUUAUGAUCUAGUCAGGUCAUUACAAUAUAUACACUAGAUGAAUUAUAGGGGACGCUAUGUGUCUCCAUCUUGGCACUCCCCCACAUUGUAGAAAAUAUUUUGGAAGCUAUAGAAAUGCAUUUAUUAAUGUAUUUUAUUCUAUUACAGACACCUUAAUACAUACUUUAAAAUUAUAUUAUGUGAGAUAAAAAAUUAAAAUAAAUCCUUGAAGUAUAAUUUUGAGCGAUUACUAAUGUUACUGUCCUCACUACAAUAACAAAAUACUUAAAUACAUGGAAUGUUGUGCUUGAAAUAUCUCAUUUAAAUAUAGAAUUUAAUUCAUUCGUUCCUCCCCACCAUCUAUCUUAAGUAAGUCUGCGUAUUGGCAGAUAGAGAGAGUGCAUCAAGUGAACACCCUUCCUAUCUUCCUCUCAACUUUUCCCACUACAACUGUUAGAUUAGUUAGUCAGGUAUAAUAUAAAAACAUCUGUAUUUUAUGUUAUAUAUAAUCAACUGUAAAAUCGACAGUAGAUAUUAUUAGAAACUCUGAACUGACACAUUUUACACGUGUCAUGCAUUAUUAAAAUGCCAGCAGUGAUCUGAAGAUCAAAGUGUUCUGGGCUUAAAGAGCGAUUGCCCCUAAAAAACAACGAAUCCCUUUGAAAAUGGCCUAUGAGGCGUCCUUGUGAGUCAUAAUAAUUUAUUAUAGUGUCAAAAUUGAUUACAAAGUGUAAUAGCAUAAUUUUGGUCAUAAAGUCAGUCUCGCCUAGAAUGGAGUUUGGAACCUCAGUGUGUCACAACAAAUAACUGAAGGUUGAGUUUGGAUUACAAUUAUGUCAACAAAUCAUGCUACCCUUUCCCAAGCUCCACAAGCAAAUCGCCCCUCAGCCUCCCUUUAUUGAAUGGGGCUCCCGUUGUUUCAUCGCCCCCAACCAAUACGUUCAAAGGAUCACGGCCAUUCGAUUGACCAUGCAAUCAAUGCAAUGCUUCCAGAAGGCUGCACAGCCAAAAGACGAUGGUUUGCAUGCCCUGCUGAAGGACCCUAUCAUGCGCAAUAGGUGGUUGGAUUGCAUUGCUCUCCAGUGGUGACAAAGUGCACAGUUGGUCAUGAACGGAUGCCAGGACCAACAAGAAAGAGCAAAGGCCAUACCAGUCAACACCACCUCAACACCACCUCAUAAGACUGCCUGCUGCACUUGUUCGGGAGAUGUCCAGUUUGCAGCCGGACAUGGGGGCCCUCAUCAGCAGAAGGUAACACACAGAAGUAUCUUUGAAGAGAGGGCAGGAGCUAAUCUACGCUGCCAUGUCUAUCAAUGGGGCUCUGGCAAUGACCUUACCUCUUGCCUGCCCACCAAUGGUCGUCGAUGGGGAGAACAGAAUUAGAAACAUGUAUGGAGCCAGCACAUGGAGACUUGCAAAAUGAUGUGAUGAAGUCCAGACCGACAUACGCACUUGAUACUGAUGUCUCUGAUUGUUGAGAGACCUGGAACUCAUCAUAAAAUGUUUACUAGACACAACUUUUACUUGUAUUGUCUUUCUUAUUAUUGAAUGGAAUGGUAUCAGUCAGUAUGGGGAGGAAGAAACCCUGUGUAUUCUGCACCAGGAUCAGGGAAAUCCUGUUGUAUACGAGACACCACACAGGGAGGUAUGACCACUGACAUGUUUACCAAGGUGGCCCAAUUACCACAAGAGAAAAUGCCGAUAGGCACAGUGUCUAUCGUCUGGGAACGACAAUGAAAGGUGCACAUUGUUAUAUUAGCAGAACACUGAUUCUAUGGUAUUGUGUAAAGGGUUGUUUAUUCUACAUGGACCAGUUAGUACAUUUGAAAGACUGGUAACACACUUUGUUUAUAACAUCUACAUAAAUUCAAAAAUUGCAUUCUUCUCAUAUUAUUCUGUAGGCUGACUUAUUCAAAGCUUCCUCAAGCAUCUCACCAUACAGUUGUAGUUGAGCCUGUAGUUGAGUUACAGCCUGUUGUUGAGAUCAACCUGCAGGAUGUUUGUUAGUGGGGAGAAACAGCUGCUGGCAAGGUUCUGACAGAUGGGUGUGUCUUGGUGGUGGCAAGGACACACCCGAGAAACACUCGCAUCAAACCACACCCCCAAGCCAACUCUCGUUCGGCUUCUGUCAUGGCUGCCAGCAUUUCAUAAGGAGCAAGCCAAAAAAUGAGGCCAAAUCAGCAGGUGUAAUUCCCUUUUAAGGUUGUAACACAUUAUUGGACAGGAGAAACAGUUAAAUGGGAAAAUAGCGCUUUGGAGUUUGUGACAACAGAUAUAACAUUUGUUUAUUGUUUUCAA
This is an RNA transcript of Oncorhynchus gorbuscha (pink salmon), 2319 nucleotides long. It is a transcript of the gene named 3-hydroxy-3-methylglutaryl-CoA lyase, cytoplasmic-like, with no coding region annotated. Lineage: Eukaryota; Metazoa; Chordata; Actinopteri; Salmoniformes; Salmonidae. The transcript has 5 exons. The record is from RefSeq and is a predicted model, not a curated record.